GAUCCUGGCUCAGGAUGAACGCUAGCUACAGGCUUAACACAUGCAAGUCGAGGGGAAACGACAUCGAAAGCUUGCUUUUGAUGGGCGUCGACCGGCGCACGGGUGAGUAACGCGUAUCCAACCUGCCCAUCACUUGGGAAUAACCUUGCGAAAGUAAGACUAAUGCCCAAUGACAUCCCACGAAGGCAUCCGAAUGGGAUUAAAGGUUUACCGGUGUAAGAUGGGGAUGCGUUCCAUUAGAUAGUAGGG
Molecule: ribosomal RNA, 249 nt
Filed under: uncultured bacterium
Lineage: Bacteria
Description: partial 16S ribosomal RNA
Rfam family: Bacterial small subunit ribosomal RNA
Source: RNAcentral